Molecule: long non-coding RNA, 1867 nt
Organism: Nymphaea colorata (pocket water lily)
Lineage: Eukaryota; Viridiplantae; Streptophyta; Magnoliopsida; Nymphaeales; Nymphaeaceae
Exons: 3
Source: RefSeq, a predicted model, not a curated record
UCUAUGGAUUCCAUCAAGCUGGUAGCAGAGGGUUUAGCAGCCCUGCUUGCCCUUUUCUUGAUCUGCAAUAUUUGGAAAAAAAAAGAAAAGAGAAGCAAGAUGCCGACUACCGCAACCCAACCGUUCUUGUCCAAUAGUCGGACGCCUUGGCCGGCUGACCGGAACCACACCUCUCUAUAGAGCUGCUGUCAAGCAAGCACAUCCGGGUCGAGCGGUGGGCUCCUUUGUGCGGCGCCUGUACAGCAGUUGCAGCAGCCGUGAGCCGGCUGAGCUGCUCCGUCUCUCCACAAAGCCAUGAAGAGGGUUCACCUUAAGAUGGAUGAAGUUGCCUCGGCUUGGCUUGCAGAGCACCGCCGGAAGAAAUCCAAUAGCGCCAGCGAGAAGAGAUACUUGAUUGACGUGCUCAUUAAAGAAUUAGAAGACGGCCACCGCUAUGACAAGAGUUUUAUGUUAUAUACACACAAAAGUAGCUACCAAGUACCGAGACUGCAAAUACCAUCACCACAUCUAUGAUUCCAUCAAGCUCGCAGCAGAGGGCUUAUGUAAUAUUUGAAAAAAGAAGAACAGAGAUACUUCAUCCAGCUCGCAGCAGAGGGCUCACACACAAUAUUAAGAUACUUCAUCCAGCUGACCGGAACCACACCUCUCUAUGGAACUCUCAGUACUCUUCUAGAAAAGCACGGGCCUCUCUUCAGUCUCUUGAGCAGAAACGCCUUGCUACAAUCGUGCCAUGUUCGCAUUCAGCCCAUAUGGACCUUACUUUGGUGAACUCCGCAAGAUCGUCGCCAUCGAGCUGCUGUCAGGCAACUCGAGCUGGUCAAGCACAUCCGGCUCCUUUGUCCGGCGCUUCUACCGCAGCCGGUCGAGAUGAAGCAGCAUUCAAGCUGCUUUAGUGAAGCUCUGGAUGAGUUUGUCAAUGUACUUGGUACGUUCACCGUCUCUGACACGAUCCCAUUGCUGCGGUGGCUAGAUGUGGGUGGUCACCUCAAGGCCAUGUAGGUCAUGAAGAGGGUUCAAAUGAAGCUGGAUGAAGCUUGCAGAGCACCACCAGAAGGAAUCCAAUAUCGCCGGAAUCCAAUAGCCCCGGCCAGAAGAGGGACUUGAUUGACGUGCUCAUAAAGAAUUAAAAAUCGUCCAGUUGUCGGAAAAUAAUCAAACUGAUGCCAUAAUUAAAGCCAUCGCUAUGGUUUUGGUAGUUGCCGGGACGGAGGCCACAGCAAUCACACUUGAGUGGGCUCUCUCUCUCUUGCUAAACAACCCACAUAUCUUAAAGAAAGCCCAAGAUGAGUUGGACUACCAUGUGGGCAAAGACUGACAAGUGGACGAACCAGACAACAACAACUUGCCUUACUUGCAGACUUAUACCCAGACGACACCGCUUUUGCUCUCACACGAGUCAUUGGGACCCAUUCAACUUGGUGGGUUCGACAUGUCGGUUGAUUGAACCCUGUUUGUUAACGCGUGGAAGAUUCAUCACAACCCACAUUGUCCGACCCAGAAGAGUUGAAGCCAGAGAGGUUCUUGAGCAGCGGCAAUGAGAUGACCAGCUUUGGUGGUCAGGACUUUGUGUUCUUGCCAUUUGGGUCGGGAAGGAGGUUCUGCGUCGGCUGGCGGAUGACCAUGCAAUUUAUUCACUUAACUUUGGCACGCUUGCUGCAGGGCUUUGAAUGGUCUACGCCCAAGGAUGAGCCGGUUGACAUGACCGAGGGACAUGGCCUAGUCCUGCCCAAAGCAACUCUGUUUAGAGUCCUUUUGAGGCUUCAUCUCCCUCCCCACCUCCAGUUGUGAAACUAAUGAUAGUGCUUGUUUCUAGUGUGUGCUAUAAUAUUUCCAAUGAUAUGGCAGAUUCAUAAUUUGAAACGAAGAA